AUGAUACAAGUCAUGCCAUUAUGGCGGUUUACUACAACGGGCCUUAAGUCGCUUGUGGGCCUUAAGCCCUCUAUGAACCACCAUCUUCAUGCUUUGGUCUUGGGCCUUCUCUCUGGUAAGUCUUCUUUGCGUAACCCGGCCCCUCCUGGGCGGCUUACUCAAAUAGUUAUAUCCCCAACAGGAAGAUAUCACAACACAACUCUAAACACAAAUAAAAGAAUACAAGCUUCAUAUUACAAGCCAGGGGCCUCGAGGGCUCGAAUACAAAAACUCGAGACACAAGGGUCAGCGGAAGCAACAAUAUCUGAGUACAGACAUAAGUUAAACAAGGAUGCCUUAAGAAGGCAAACACAAAAGCAACAAUGA
Molecule: ribosomal RNA, 366 nt
Filed under: Triticum aestivum (bread wheat)
Lineage: Eukaryota; Viridiplantae; Streptophyta; Magnoliopsida; Poales; Poaceae
Description: partial small subunit ribosomal RNA
Source: RNAcentral